AUUGAACGCUAGCGGCAGGCCUAACACAUGCAAGUCGGACGAGCGGCGGACGGGUGAGUAAUGUCUGGGGAUCUGCCUGAUGGAGGGGGAUAACUACUGGAAACGGUAGCUAAUACCGCAUACCAUCAGAUGUACCCAUAUGGGAUUAGCUAGUAGGUGAGGUAACGGCUCACCUAGGCGACGAUCCCUAGCUGGUCUGAGAGGAUGACCAGCCACACUGGGACUGAGACACGGCCCAGACUCCUACGGGAGGCAGCAGUGGGGAAUAUUGCACAAUGGGCGCAAGCCUGAUGCAGCCAUGCCGCGUGUAUGAAGAAGGCCUUCGGGUUGUAAAGUACUUUCAGUCGGGAGGCGUUACCCGCAGAAGAAGCACCGGCUAACUCCGUGCCAGCCGCCGCGGUAAUAC
RNAcentral lists this ribosomal RNA (406 nucleotides) under uncultured bacterium. RNAcentral describes it as "partial 16S ribosomal RNA". It matches the Rfam family "Bacterial small subunit ribosomal RNA", at positions 30 to 526 of the family's 1533-position model. The record is from RNAcentral.